Non-coding RNA from Podarcis lilfordi (Lilford's wall lizard), 81 nucleotides. The record is from the annotation of a GenBank genome assembly. Lineage: Eukaryota; Metazoa; Chordata; Lepidosauria; Squamata; Lacertidae.
UUGUCACAGAACAUAGCUCAGUUGGUAGAGUAGGAGACUCUCAAUCUCAGGGCCAUGGGUUCAAGCCCCACAUUGGGCAAA